UGGAUGAGUGGCGAACGGGUGAGUAACACGUGAGUAACCUUCCCUUGACUCUGGGAUAAGCCCGGGAAACUGGGUCUAAUACCGGAUAUGACCUCCUGUCGCAUGGUGGGGGGUGGAAAGAUUUAUCGGUCUUGGAUGGACUCGCGGCCUAUCAGCUUGUUGGUGAGGUAAUGGCUCACCAAGGCGACGACGGGUAGCCGGCCUGAGAGGGUGACCGGCCACACUGGGACUGAGACACGGCCCAGACUCCUACGGGAGGCAGCAGUGGGGAAUAUUGCACAAUGGGCGCAAGCCUGAUGCAGCGACGCCGCGUGAGGGAUGACGGCCUUCGGGUUGUAAACCUCUUUCAGUAGGGAAGAAGCCUUCGGGUGACGGUACCUGCAGAAGAAGCGCCGGCUAACUACGUGCCAGCAGCCGCGGUAAUACGUAGGGCGCGAGCGUUAUCCGGAAUUAUUGGGCGUAAAGAGCUCGUAGGCGGUUUGUCGCGUCUGCCGUGAAAGUCCGGGGCUUAACCCCGGAUCUGCGGUGGGUACGGGCAGACUAGAGUGCAGUAGGGGAGACCGGAAUUCCUGGUGUAGCGGUGAAAUGCGCAGAUAUCAGGAGGAACACCGAUGGCGAAGGCAGGUCUCUGGGCUGUUACUGACGCUGAGGAGCGAAAGCAUGGGGAGCGAACAGGAUUAGAUACCCUGGUAGUCCAUGCCGUAAACGUUGGGCACUAGGUGUGGGGGAC
This 730-nucleotide ribosomal RNA is filed under the name bacterium SCSIO13184. RNAcentral describes it as "bacterial SSU rRNA". It matches the Rfam family "Bacterial small subunit ribosomal RNA", at positions 88 to 830 of the family's 1533-position model. The record is from RNAcentral.